Molecule: ribosomal RNA, 501 nt
Filed under: uncultured Sphingobacteriales bacterium
Lineage: Bacteria; Pseudomonadati; Bacteroidota; Sphingobacteriia; Sphingobacteriales
Description: bacterial SSU rRNA
Rfam family: Bacterial small subunit ribosomal RNA
Source: RNAcentral
CCUUGCCAGCCCGCUCAGAAACUUAAAUGAAUUGACGGGGCCCGCACAAGCGGAGGAGCAUGUGGUUAAUUCGAUGAUACGCGAGGAACCUUACCUGGGCUCGAACGUAAGAUGACUGUAGGUGAAAGCUUACAUCUCUUCGGAGCAUUUUACGAGGUGCUGCAUGGUUGUCGUCAGCUCGUGCCGUGAGGUGUCGGGUUAAGUCCCAUAACGAGCGCAACCCCUACCUUUAGUUGCCAUCAGGUUAAGCUGGGGACUCUAAAGGAACUGCCUACGCAAGUAGUGAGGAAGGCGGGGAUGACGUCAAAUCAGCACGGCCCUUACGUCCAGGGCUACACACGUGCUACAAUGGCCGAUACAGAGGGCAGCUACCUGGUGACAGGAUGCAAAUCUCCAAAGUCGGUCUCAGUUCGGAUCGGAGUCUGCAACCCGACUCCGUGAAGUUGGAUUCGCUAGUAAUCGCGCAUCAGCCAUGGCGCGGUGAAUACGUUCCCGGGCCUU